AUUGAACGCUGGCGGCAGGCCUAACACAUGCAAGUCGAACGGUAACAGGAAGCAGCUUGCUGCUUUGCUGACGAGUGGCGGACGGGUGAGUAAUGUCUGGGAAACUGCCUGAUGGAGGGGGAUAACUACUGGAAGCGGUAGCUAAUACCGCAUAACGUCGCAAGACCAAAGAGGGGGACCUUCGGGCCUCUUGCCAUCGGAUGUGCCCAGAUGGGAUUAGCUAGUAGGUGGGGUAACGGCUCACCUAGGCGACGAUCCCUAGCUGGUCUGAGAGGAUGACCAGCCACACUGGAACUGAGACACGGUCCAGACUCCUACGGGAGGCAGCAGUGGGGAAUAUUGCACAAUGGGCGCAAGCCUGAUGCAGCCAUGCCGCGUGUAUGAAGAAGGCCUUUCGGGUUGUAAAGUACUUUGCAGCGGGGAGGAAGGCGAUAAGGUUAAUAACCUUGUCGAUUGACGUUACCCGCAGAAGAAGCACCGCUAACUCC
RNAcentral lists this ribosomal RNA (488 nucleotides) under Enterobacter hormaechei. RNAcentral's name for it is "bacterial SSU rRNA". It matches the Rfam family "Bacterial small subunit ribosomal RNA", at positions 30 to 504 of the family's 1533-position model. The record is from RNAcentral. Lineage: Bacteria; Pseudomonadati; Pseudomonadota; Gammaproteobacteria; Enterobacterales; Enterobacteriaceae.